RNAcentral lists this ribosomal RNA (1430 nucleotides) under Klebsiella aerogenes. RNAcentral's name for it is "Enterobacter aerogenes 16S ribosomal RNA". It matches the Rfam family "Bacterial small subunit ribosomal RNA". The record is from RNAcentral. Lineage: Bacteria; Pseudomonadati; Pseudomonadota; Gammaproteobacteria; Enterobacterales; Enterobacteriaceae.
ACGCUGGCGGCAGGCCUAACACAUGCAAGUCGAGCGGUAGCACAGAGAGCUUGCUCUCGGGUGACGAGCGGCGGACGGGUGAGUAAUGUCUGGGAAACUGCCUGAUGGAGGGGGAUAACUACUGGAAACGGUAGCUAAUACCGCAUAACGUCGCAAGACCAAAGUGGGGGACCUUCGGGCCUCAUGCCAUCAGAUGUGCCCAGAUGGGAUUAGCUAGUAGGUGGGGUAAUGGCUCACCUAGGCGACGAUCCCUAGCUGGUCUGAGAGGAUGACCAGCCACACUGGAACUGAGACACGGUCCAGACUCCUACGGGAGGCAGCAGUGGGGAAUAUUGCACAAUGGGCGCAAGCCUGAUGCAGCCAUGCCGCGUGUAUGAAGAAGGCCUUCGGGUUGUAAAGUACUUUCAGCGAGGAGGAAGGCGUUAAGGUUAAUAACCUUGGCGAUUGACGUUACUCGCAGAAGAAGCACCGGCUAACUCCGUGCCAGCAGCCGCGGUAAUACGGAGGGUGCAAGCGUUAAUCGGAAUUACUGGGCGUAAAGCGCACGCAGGCGGUCUGUCAAGUCGGAUGUGAAAUCCCCGGGCUCAACCUGGGAACUGCAUUCGAAACUGGCAGGCUAGAGUCUUGUAGAGGGGGGUAGAAUUCCAGGUGUAGCGGUGAAAUGCGUAGAGAUCUGGAGGAAUACCGGUGGCGAAGGCGGCCCCCUGGACAAAGACUGACGCUCAGGUGCGAAAGCGUGGGGAGCAAACAGGAUUAGAUACCCUGGUAGUCCACGCCGUAAACGAUGUCGACUUGGAGGUUGUGCCCUUGAGGCGUGGCUUCCGGAGCUAACGCGUUAAGUCGACCGCCUGGGGAGUACGGCCGCAAGGUUAAAACUCAAAUGAAUUGACGGGGGCCCGCACAAGCGGUGGAGCAUGUGGUUUAAUUCGAUGCAACGCGAAGAACCUUACCUACUCUUGACAUCCAGAGAACUUAGCAGAGAUGCUUUGGUGCCUUCGGGAACUCUGAGACAGGUGCUGCAUGGCUGUCGUCAGCUCGUGUUGUGAAAUGUUGGGUUAAGUCCCGCAACGAGCGCAACCCUUAUCCUUUGUUGCCAGCGGUCCGGCCGGGAACUCAAAGGAGACUGCCAGUGAUAAACUGGAGGAAGGUGGGGAUGACGUCAAGUCAUCAUGGCCCUUACGAGUAGGGCUACACACGUGCUACAAUGGCAUAUACAAAGAGAAGCGACCUCGCGAGAGCAAGCGGACCUCAUAAAGUAUGUCGUAGUCCGGAUUGGAGUCUGCAACUCGACUCCAUGAAGUCGGAAUCGCUAGUAAUCGUAGAUCAGAAUGCUACGGUGAAUACGUUCCCGGGCCUUGUACACACCGCCCGUCACACCAUGGGAGUGGGUUGCAAAAGAAGUAGGUAGCUUAACCUUCGGGAGGNCGCUU